Molecule: ribosomal RNA, 1229 nt
Filed under: metagenome
Description: bacterial LSU rRNA
Rfam family: Bacterial large subunit ribosomal RNA
Source: RNAcentral
GGGCGCGAGACAACUCUCUCUAAGGAACUCGGCCAAAUUACCUCGUAACUUCGGAAGAAGAGGUACCCCUUCACGGGGGUUGCAAUAGAUUGACCCUGGCGACUGUUUACCAAAAACACAGGUCUCCGCUAAUUCGUAAGAAAAAGUAUGGGGGCUGACGCCUGCCCAGUGCCGGAAGGUUAAAGAAGUUGGUUAGUCCUUGGACAAAGCUAGCGACUGAAGCCCCGGUGAACGGCGGCCGUAACUAUAACGGUCCUAAGGUAGCGAAAUUCCUCGUCGGGUAAGUUCCGACCCGCACGAAAGGCGUAACGAUCAGGGUACUGUCUCGGAGAGAGGCUCGGCGAAAUAGACAUGUCUGUGAAGAUGCGGACUACCUGCACCUGGACAGAAAGACCCUAUGAAGCUUUACUGUAUCUUGGAAUUGGGUUUGGUCUUUGCAUGCGCAGGAUAGGUGGGAGGCUUUGAAGAUGAUCUUGCGGGGUCGUUGGAGCCACUGGUGAGAUACCACCCUUGCAAUGAUAAAAUCCUAACUUUGAACCGUUAUCCGGUCAAAGAACAGUUUCAGGUGGGCAGUUUGACUGGGGCGGUCGCCUCCUAAAAGGUAACGGAGGCGUGCAAAGGUUCCCUCAGGCUGGUUGGACAUCAGUCGUAGAGUGUAAAGGCAUAAGGGAGCUUGACUGCGAGACCAACAAGUCGAGCAGAGACGAAAGUCGGCCUUAGUGAUCCGGCGCUUCCGAGUGGAAGGGGCGUCGCUCAACGGAUAAAAGUUACUCUAAGGAUAACAGGCUGAUCUCCCCCAAGAGUUCACAUCGACGGGGAGGUUUGGCACCUCGAUGUCGGCUCAUCGCAUCCUGGGGCGGUAGUACGUCCCAAGGGUUGGGCUGUCCGCCCAUGAAAGCGGUACGCGAGCUGGGUUCAGAACGUCGUGAGACAGUUCGGUCCAUAUCCGGUGCAGGCGUUAGAGUAUUGCGAAGACUCCUCCUUAGUACGAGAGGACCGGGGGGAAUGCACCGCUGGUGUACCAGUUAUCGUGCCAACGGUAAACGCUGGGUAGCCAAGUGCAGUUUGGAUAACUGCUGAAAGCAUCUAAGUAGGAAGCCAGCUUCAAGAUGAGUACUCUCACCGCUUCAAGCGGGUAAGAUCACGGCAAGAACAGCCGUUUGAUAGGCAUCAAGUGUAAGUGCAGUAAUGUAUUCAGCUGAGAUAUACUAAUAGAUCGAGGGCUUAUU